UGGGGAAUAUUGGACAAUGGGGGAAACCCUGAUCCAGCAAUGCCGCGUGAGUGAAGAAGGCCUUAGGGUUGUAAAGCUCUUUCGCCCGCGAAGAUAAUGACGGUAGCGGGAGAAGAAGCCCCGGCUAACUCCGUGCCAGCAGCCGCGGUAAUACGGAGGGGGCUAGCGUUGUUCGGAAUUACUGGGCGUAAAGCGUACGUAGGCGGAUGCGCAAGUUGGGGGUGAAAUCCCGGGGCUUAACCUCGGAAUUGCCCUCAAAACUGCACGUCUUGAGACCGAGAGAGGUAAGGGGAAUUCCUAGUGUAGAGGUGAAAUUCGUAGAUAUUAGGAAGAACACCAGUGGCGAAGGCGCCUUACUGGCUCGGUACUGACGCUGAGGUACGAAAGCGUGGGGAG
This 396-nucleotide ribosomal RNA is filed under the name uncultured bacterium. Its description in RNAcentral is "bacterial SSU rRNA". It matches the Rfam family "Bacterial small subunit ribosomal RNA", at positions 355 to 768 of the family's 1533-position model. The record is from RNAcentral.